CGUGUAGGCGGCCUAAUAAGUUAGAAGUGAAACCUAUCGGCUCAACUGAUAGCCUGCUUCUAAAACUGCUAAGCUUGAGUGCAGAAGAGGGGGAGUGGAAUUCCCAGUGUAGCGGUGAAAUGCGUAGAUAUUGGGAGGAACACCAGUGGCGAAAGCGGCUCCCUGGUCUGUAACUGACGCUGAGGCGCGAAAGCGUGGGUAGCAAACAG
RNAcentral lists this ribosomal RNA (209 nucleotides) under uncultured Peptococcaceae bacterium. Its description in RNAcentral is "partial 16S ribosomal RNA". It matches the Rfam family "Bacterial small subunit ribosomal RNA", at positions 568 to 775 of the family's 1533-position model. Lineage: Bacteria; Bacillati; Bacillota; Clostridia; Eubacteriales; Peptococcaceae. The record is from RNAcentral.